GCUGGGCAUAUUGGCAGGUGCCUGUAAUCCCAGCUACUCGGGAGGCUGAGGCAGGAGAAUCACUUGAACCUGGGAGACUGAGAUUGCAGUGAGCAAAAAUCGUGCCACUGCACUCCAGCCUCGGUAACAGAGUGAGACUCAGUCUCAA
Callithrix jacchus (white-tufted-ear marmoset) is the source of this 148-nucleotide unclassified non-coding RNA. It matches the Rfam family "Metazoan signal recognition particle RNA". Rfam says of the family: The signal recognition particle (SRP) is a universally conserved ribonucleoprotein. It is involved in the co-translational targeting of proteins to membranes. Lineage: Eukaryota; Metazoa; Chordata; Mammalia; Primates; Cebidae. The record is from Ensembl.